GACGAACGCUGGCGGCGUGCUUAACACAUGCAAGUCGAACGGAAAGGCCCUGCUUUUGUGGGGUGCUCGAGUGGCGAACGGGUGAGUAACACGUGAGUAACCUGCCCUUUACUUUGGGAUAACUUCAGGAAACUGGGGCUAAUACCGGAUAGGAGCUCCUGCUGCAUGGUGGGGGUUGGAAAGUUUCGGUGGUUGGGGAUGGACUCGCGGCUUAUCAGCUUGUUGGUGGGGUAGUGGCUUACCAAGGCUUUGACGGGUAGCCGGCCUGAGAGGGUGACCGGCCACAUUGGGACUGAGAUACGGCCCAGACUGCUACGGGAGGCAGCAGUGGGGAAUAUUGCACAAUGGGCGGAAGCCUGAUGCAGCAACGCCGCGUGCGGGAUGACGGCCUUCGGGUUGUAAACCGCUUUCGCCUGUGACGAAGCGUGAGUGACGGUAAUGGGUAAAGAAGCACCGGCUAACUACGUG
RNAcentral lists this ribosomal RNA (468 nucleotides) under uncultured bacterium. Its description in RNAcentral is "partial 16S ribosomal RNA". It matches the Rfam family "Bacterial small subunit ribosomal RNA", at positions 28 to 507 of the family's 1533-position model. The record is from RNAcentral.